UACGGAGGGGGCUAGCGUUGUUCGGAAUUACUGGGCGUAAAGCGCACGUAGGCGGCUUUGUAAGUUAGAGGUGAAAGCCCGGGGCUCAACUCCGGAAUUGCCUUUAAGACUGCAUCGCUAGAAUUGUGGAGAGGUAAGUGGAAUUCCGAGUGUAGAGGUGAAAUUCGUAGAUAUUCGGAGGAACACCAGUGGCGAAGGCGACUUACUGGACACAUAUUGACGCUGAGGUGCGAAAGCGUGGGGAGCAAACAGG
Molecule: ribosomal RNA, 253 nt
Filed under: uncultured bacterium
Lineage: Bacteria
Description: partial 16S ribosomal RNA
Rfam family: Bacterial small subunit ribosomal RNA
Source: RNAcentral